AACGAACGCUGGCGGCAGGCCUAACACAUGCAAGUCGAGCGAGGACUUCGGUCCUAGCGGCGGACGGGUGAGUAACGCGUGGGAACGUGCCCUUUGCUUCGGAAUAGCCCUGGGAAACUGGGAGUAAUACCGGAUGAGCCCUUUGGAGGAAAGAUUUAUCGGCGAAGGAUCGGCCCGCGUUGGAUUAGGUAGUUGGUGGGGUAAUGGCCUACCAAGCCGACGAUCCAUAGCUGGUUUGAGAGGAUGAUCAGCCACACUGGGACUGAGACACGGCCCAGACUCCUACGGGAGGCAGCAGUGGGGAAUCUUAGACAAUGGGGGAAACCCUGAUCUAGCCAUGCCGCGUGAGCGAUGAAGGCCUUAGGGUUGUAAAGCUCUUUCAGCUGGGAAGAUAAUGACGGUACCAGCAGAAGAAGCCCCGGCUAACUCCGUG
Molecule: ribosomal RNA, 433 nt
Filed under: uncultured bacterium
Lineage: Bacteria
Description: partial 16S ribosomal RNA
Rfam family: Bacterial small subunit ribosomal RNA
Source: RNAcentral